This 1332-nucleotide long non-coding RNA is filed under the name Otus sunia (Oriental scops-owl). RNAcentral describes it as "lncRNA (ENSOSUG00000006616.1)". The record is from RNAcentral. Lineage: Eukaryota; Metazoa; Chordata; Aves; Strigiformes; Strigidae.
CUCCCUCCCCACGGCCUCAAGUCUCGCCAGUGAUGGAGAGAGCGUCACCGUCUCCUAGCAACGCUCCUAGCAACGCUCCUAGCAACCGGGCAACAUCUGCUCCCGCUGGACCAAUCCGCGCCGGGAACAUCUGGGCACCCACCUCCGCGGGCUGCGGCCGGGAGGUGAUGCGCUCCUCAGUGGCUGCAGGGACCCGCAGGAGCUGCCACCGCCGCCGCCACCUCCAUCGCCACCUCCACCGCCACCACCGCCUCCAGGAGCAGCGGGCGGCUCCGGGCAGCGAGGGAAGGACGGGGAGCAGCCCUCCCUCCGGAGCCGGGGCUCGCUGGAGCUGAUCUGAUCGGGGCCUACCAAAGACAUUAACGACGUCGAAAGUAGCCUACUUUAAGAGAAAAUAUGCAGAAGAAGAACAUUUACAUCAAGAUUACCAUGAGUAUUGUCCAAAAGUGAGUAGCUCUCUCAUUCCAGACCCUGUCCUCCCCCGGUUUCAUUCCUCGAUGCUAAAGACCCAUUUUCUUGCUCUUUACUCCCCAGCACCUGAUACUACCCGAGGACCGGACUUGUAUUCUAAAACUUUCUCUCCAGAAACUCCGAUUCCUGGAUGACCCCGAAGCUUAUCUCCGUAGGUCUGUAUUAAUUAACAAUCUGUUGAGGAAGAUUCACUUAGAGACAGAGAGGGAGAGCUAUGAAUACUUUAAGGAGGCUCCGUGUUAUAGGACUGCUUACUCUGAUGCACGAAAACGGCUGAAGUUUAUGGUACAGGAGUGCUGUUCCCAGUCGCUCUAUUAUGAAGAGCUGCAUUCGUAUCGCAUCGUGCCUUACUCUGCAGAGAACGCCGUUUACGGAAUGGGCUACACGAGCAGCCACUUGGAGCAAAAUUCUCAAUUGCUUAUUUAUAAAAUGAAUUAAAGUAGCUGUUAGACCCACUGAUGUUUGUUUCUGAAUGCUUGAACUGCUUAUUGAGAUGUUAAGAUGAGGCACUAAUUGCAGAUAUACUUGUGAUCAAAGGCGGAUGAGUUCAGAGCUGAGUGGAAGGUACUUUGGAUAAUGCUCUGCAGUCCCCGCUGUUAACCCCCUGGUUACGAAGUACCUUGACAUACACACAGAGCUGGUGCAAUACAGAGGUCCUUAUCCGCAGAGACUGCGGGCAAUGUGUUUUGUAGAAACAAAGCUGCAUUUAAGUUAUCUGUGUGUAGAUCCAGACGUUCAAAAUCACUUUGCAGUUAAAUUAUGCCAUCCCUGUUGGAAGGGGAGCCCCCAAAGCAGUGGAUUAGUCUAACAGUGAGGAGUAAAAUGCAAGUUAUUUACUGUAAAGGUAUAGAUAGAAAGUUU